GCAAAAUUGAUGGCAAGGUCGGGGCC
Molecule: small RNA, 26 nt
Filed under: Bombyx mori (domestic silkworm)
Lineage: Eukaryota; Metazoa; Arthropoda; Insecta; Lepidoptera; Bombycidae
Description: ovarian small RNA-16201
Source: RNAcentral